GUGACAAUUCACAGCCACAAAGAUGGUCCCUCUCAGUUACCUGCUGUGUGUGAUUAUGCUUUAUAUUCAGGGUAACAAUGGAUUCUCAUUACACGUUUUAUUUCUAUCAAUGUGUGCUUUGUUUUCAUUAUAUGCUUAAUAUAUAAUUAGUGAAUUGUUAAUAAUUACUAUUCCUUUUCAAUCCCUCAGGAUCCUCUGGACAGUAUGUGAUGACUCAGACUCCAGAGUCAGUUACUGUGUCACCAGGAGAAACUGCCACCAUGACAUGUACAUCUAGUGCUGGUAUAGGCAGCUGGCUAGCCUGGUACCAACAGAAACCAGGACAACCUCCAAAUCUUCUUAUCUAUGGUGCAAGCAGGAGACAGACUGGGAUCCCAGCCCGGUUCAGUGGCAGUGGGUCUGGAACCAGUUUCACUUUAACAAUCAGUGGAAUGUUAGCAGAAGAUGCAGCAGAUUAUUACUGUCAGCAGAGUUACAGCGACCCUCUCAC
Molecule: long non-coding RNA, 490 nt
Filed under: Pelobates cultripes (western spadefoot toad)
Lineage: Eukaryota; Metazoa; Chordata; Amphibia; Anura; Pelobatidae
Source: RNAcentral